Molecule: ribosomal RNA, 348 nt
Filed under: uncultured bacterium
Lineage: Bacteria
Description: partial 16S ribosomal RNA
Rfam family: Bacterial small subunit ribosomal RNA
Source: RNAcentral
CCUACGGGAGGCAGCAGUGGUGGAUAGUGCACAAUGGGGGAAACCCUGAUGCAGCGACGCCGCGUGAGUGAAGAAGGAUUUCGGUAGGUAAAGCUCUAUCAGCAGGGAAGAAAAGGACAGUAACUGACCAAGAAGCCACGGCUAACUACGGGCCAGCAGCCGCGGGAAUACGGAGGGGGCAAGCGUUAGCCGGAUUUCCUGGGUGGAAAGGGAGCGUAGACGGUUAGGUAAGGCUGGAGUGAAAGCCCGGGGCCCCACCCCGGGACUGCUUUGGAUACGGUGUAACUGGAGUACAGGAGGGCCAGGCUGCCUUCCUGUUGUCGCGGUGCACUGCGUAGAUAUCAGGCG